Molecule: ribosomal RNA, 452 nt
Filed under: uncultured bacterium
Lineage: Bacteria
Description: bacterial SSU rRNA
Rfam family: Bacterial small subunit ribosomal RNA
Source: RNAcentral
GACGAACGCUGGCGGCGUGCUUAACACAUGCAAGUCGAGCGGAAAGGCCCUUCGGGGUACUCGAGCGGCGAACGGGUGAGUAACACGUGAGUAAUCUGCCCCCUACUUUGGGAUAACCCUCGGAAACGGGUGCUAAUACCGGAUAUGACCAUGUCGCGCAUGUGGUGUGGUGGAAAGUUUUUCGGUGGGGGAUGUGCUCGCGGCCUAUCAGCUUGUUGGUGGGGUAAUGGCCUACCAAGGCUUUGACGGGUAGCCGGCCUGAGAGGGUGACCGGCCACACUGGGACUGAGACACGGCCCAGACUCCUACGGGAGGCAGCAGUGGGGAAUAUUGGACAAUGGGCGGAAGCCUGAUCCAGCAACGCCGCGUGAGGGAUGACGGCCUUCGGGUUGUAAACCUCUUUCAGCACCGACGAAGCGAAAGUGACGGUAGGUGCAGAAGAAGGACCGGCC